RNAcentral lists this non-coding RNA (21 nucleotides) under Caenorhabditis elegans. The record is from RNAcentral. Lineage: Eukaryota; Metazoa; Nematoda; Chromadorea; Rhabditida; Rhabditidae.
UGAAGUUUUUAAGCCGCAAUU